RNAcentral lists this ribosomal RNA (180 nucleotides) under uncultured bacterium. RNAcentral's name for it is "partial 16S ribosomal RNA". It matches the Rfam family "Bacterial small subunit ribosomal RNA", at positions 1314 to 1500 of the family's 1533-position model. The record is from RNAcentral.
GACUCCAUGAAGCUGGAUUCGCUAGUAAUCGCGCAUCAGCCAUGGCGCGGUGAAUACGUUCCCGGGCCUUGUACACACCGCCCGUCAAGCCAUGGAAGCCGGGGGGUGCCUGAAGUGUGCAGCCGCAAGGAGCGCCCUAAGGUAAAACCGGUGACUGGGGCUAAGUCGUAACAAGGUAUC